UCCCUUGGUAUCCCCUUCGUAUUCGUGAGCAAGCACCACCACUCACCCACAUCUUGGAGGGUGUCGAAUUAAGGCUAAUGACCACCGCGGUAUAUGGGACAGCGACAAUGACGGUGACGAGGACGCAGCGGCGUCACUGUCCCUUGUCAGCAUUGUAGAGGCGCUAGAAGCAGCCAGCACGAAGGCAACCGGAGUGUUCGUAGCGGUAGUCGUGCAACGGUAGCAGCUGGUUUCGGGUAGCACCUAGCUGCCAGACGUUUGCUGCGGCUGCCUGUUUCCGUCCCUUAUUAUUACGCCAAGGUAAAGAGGAAGACAGAAUGUGACGAUGGAUGGCACAGAGCUGCAAGCCACCUCCGAACAGAGCAAAACCAAAAUGGAUUGGGUUAAAUAGAGACAAAACAAACGCUAGUGCGAGCGGAACAAUAGAAGCAGUAACAUUCCUCGCUCCCAUUACACACGUUCGCUUAAGAGGAGUGGCCGUAGCGGCACAAACGCACAUAUAAAAAACGGUGACGGUCGCCGCCGUUUACAUGCUGUGCGUGGCGCGUACAUUCGUGCGAAAUCUGCGACCCUGGAUACGACUUUAAUCACUGAUUGCAUCAAGCGUGGGUUUCCUAUGGAACAAGCACGCUCGUAGAGGACAGAGCAUGCUUCUGGUAGUGAUCGUAUGCACUGCCUUGAUGUACUUACCGCCGUACAGCAGCGAUAAGCGGGAUACAAAGACGACCUUAGCGUUGCAAUGCUGGACUAGGUACUGGGCCUCUUGGAUCGUCCUAUUCCAAACACGCUCCUGCACCCCCGGCCGGUGGUCCCGUAACAAGCGUUCGGCAUCAGCCAAAACCGUCAUCUCGUAGGCUCUGUUCCUUCGAAGAUUAGAGAGCGGAAUGGAGUACCUACUAAGUAGCUGCGAAGGCGAGGCUGCGGCUAAUGUAUACUAUCAAGCCGGGGGGGGUCAACUGCAUGGUGCCAAUACUAGUCGUAGCAUAGGACGACGAUUCAAUCUAGUUGCCUCUACUAACUCUCUUCUAAUCAAAGUAACCGUUCUUUUUCUAUCAAAUUCCAGUUACAUCCUGGUUACUCUAGGUUCCUGAUUUGUUUGUCCGUUGACCAGUCGCUGACCGAUUUUGGUACGGUCCACUUAAGCCUGUAGCGUCUAACCUUCCCCGCUCUCCCACUUCAGCAUACCUCGGUCUCUCACACUGGUCUUCUAUACGUAUUUAUUUACGGAGUUUACGGAGCUUAUUUACGGAGCUUCAGUACCUCAACUACGCCAUUGUGUAGUUUCAUACAGCGGGCAACAGCUGCCACUCUGAUUUCUGAGCUAUCUGUUAUUUUUUAGUUAUUUAUCUUUUACAAUAAAA
This is an RNA transcript of Varroa destructor (honeybee mite), 1361 nucleotides long. RefSeq lists it as uncharacterized. Lineage: Eukaryota; Metazoa; Arthropoda; Arachnida; Mesostigmata; Varroidae. The record is from RefSeq and is a predicted model, not a curated record.